GUGGUAUAAAGAGGAGAGGGGAGAGGUGAGACAAGGGCCAGACUGCUGGGCCAAGAAAGGGUGAAGAGUAGUGAAGGGGGUGGAGUUGGGAAUAGAGGUAAGUGAUUGAUAGAUUUGUGCAGGCAAAAUUCCAAUCCUGAUGACGGGUCUUGGCCUGAAACUUACUUACUACCCAUUAUGCUGCUACCAUUUAGGGCAGCAAUAAAGGUCCUCUUUGUCUGUCCAUACUGUUGCACACAGAGUUUGAAGGAUUCUUCAUUACUGUGAUAUUGAGUGAUUUUUCAUUGCUGUUUCCAUAACAAUUUUGUUUUUACCCCUGAUUCUGGAGGACCAGUGGACCACACUUCGUUUGGCCUCGACCUUUUGACCUGUUUGGCAUGGGUGACCCUACCAAGAGCCAAAGCCUGACUCCAGCCAACAUAGCUCUCUGGGUCAUUGAGGCAGUUCACACUGGGCACCUCCAUGGCAGAGGAGACGAUGGGCACGUCAGUGUGAGAAUUGGAAAGAGCAAAGAAAUGAUGUGUGAUUGGGAGCUUGAGAUGGAAAAUGAAGGUGAUCUGCAAAUGGGUCACCUAAUCUGCACUUGGCCUCACCAGUGUAGCAGAAGCACCGACUGCAGUGGACGUGGUUGGAGUCGGAGCCUGCAAAUCUUUGCCUCACCCAGAAGGCCUGCUUAGGUCACAGGGUGGUGGUGCUGAACCGGCUGGUACUUAAUCUGCUUCUGAAUUGGAGGAUCAACAGGCAAAGGCUUGAAAGCAGAGCUCCAAAGAUAAGGACAAUGAAGAGGUGGUCACAGGAGGCAGAGGAGCAUCGACAGCAUCGCUUUGAGUCAGUGCACUGGGCCGCGUUCCAAAACUCAUCAGUUGAUCUGAAUGAAUACGCCACGGUUAUCAUGGGCUUAUAAGAACAGUUGUAGCCGAGCGUGUCCCCACAAAAUCAUUCAGAGUCUUCCUCAACCCGAAGUCCUGGAUGAACCAAGAGAUCUGCAGUCUGGUGAGGGCCAGAUCAGAAGCAUUCAGGUCUGGCUACCAAGCUACAUCCAGACCAGCUAAGAUCUCCAGAAAGUUAUCUCAUUGGCGAAGUGGCAAUUCUGGACUAAACGAAUCAACGCUGGAACAUCUGGAGAGCGAAGAUGCGUACAUCAGGAUGCUCCUUAUUGGCUACAGCUCAGCAUUCAAUAUCAUCAUCCCCUCAAAGCUAGUCAAUAAGUUUCAAGACAUUGGCCUCAUUAUCUCCUUGUGCAAUUGGUUCCUCAAUUUCCUCACUUGCAAAUCCCAGUCAAUGGAAAAAUGUUGUGUUAAGAUGGAACAUAAGAUUUGUCAUACUGAGUGUAUCGAGAAGAGAGACCUCAGAAGGGUUCCAGAUUGAAUACUUGUGUUUAUAUGGCUGGGUCAGAAGAAAUUAAUUAAAGAUAGUAGGUAAGUAUAGAAUCUAUUAAGUCUGCAGAGCCAAACCUAGAAAACAAUGCUACAAAUUUAGAACAAAAUCUGUCCAAAGAGCACAACGGUGGAUGGAUAACGACAACAGACAGGAUCUCCCAGUUGCCACCCACUUCAACUCUGCUUCACAUUCCCAUUCGGAUAUGUCCAUACAUGGCCUCCUCUACUGCCAUGAUGAGGCCAAACUCAAGUUGGAGGCACAACACUUCAUAUACCGUCUGGGUAGUCUCCAGCCCCUUGGUAUGAACAUCGAAUUCUCCAACUUCCGGUAAUUCCUUCCCUCUCCCUUCCCCCAUCCCACUUUCACUCUGUCUCCUCUUCCAGCUGCCUAUCACCUCUCUCAUGAUUCUGCCUUCUUCUGCUACCCAUUGUGCUUUCCCCUUAGAUUCCUUCUUCACCUCUCCUGUCUAUCCCCUCCCUCAACCCCUUGAUCUUUCUUCUGAUUGGUUUGUCACCUGCCACAUUCCACCCUCCCCCCCACCUUCUUUAUAGGACCCCCGCCCCCUCUUUCUUUAGUCCUGACAAAGGGUCUCGGCCCAAAACGUUGACUGCUCCUUUCGACGGAUGCUGCCCGACCUGCUGAGUUCAUCCGGCUUUUGUACGUGUUAACUUCUUAGGCCUUGCAGUCGCCAUUUGAAAUGGAUUAAGAUGAAACAUGUUGGGAUCUUUACCAUACCUGAAGGACUGAGGACCACUUUUUCAUGUCAGGAGUUAUUAGACUAGUUCUAGUCUUAGGUAACGAUCCUCAGUUUCGUUCAUUGAACACUCUGUGAAACAAAAAGAUGCUAGACACAGAAUAACUCUGCCAUGUUCACAGUGUCGAAUGGUGUGUGACUGAGUACUCCAUUAAAGAAGCAUUGUAAAAUUGUCUAUUACAAGGAUCAUUAAGUUUAGCAAUGGUUCAUUGAUCAGCUAGAAUUUUGCCAAACUAAAGAACAACAUUGCGAAUCACAAUGGAUUAUAUCCCUGAUGAGUUACUCACGUAUGUACAACCAGAAUACAAGCUUAGUUCAGCCAAGUCAUGGCAGAAGAGUAGCGGAGGUACAGUGAGGCUGAAACAAAAUAGUGUUUCUAGCGACAGAGGAAAAUGUUUUCAACAACAUGAUAGAGUUAACGUGUUAGCACCAGGUAGCAACUCUGACUUCGCAGGAUGAGAUGUUGAAUGUGAAAUAUUGAAAAUAGAAACAUAGAAAAUAGGUGCAGGAGUAGGCCAUUCGGCCCUUCGAGCCUGCACCGCCAUGCAGCAUGAUCAUGGCUGAUCAUCCAACUCAGAACCCUGUACCUGUUUUCUCUCCAUACCCCCGAUCCCUUUAGCCACAAGGGAUCUAACUUCCUUUUAAAUAUAGCCAAUGAACCGGCCUCAACUGUUUCCUGUGGCAGAGAAUUCCACAGAUUCACCACUCUCUGUGUGAAGAAGUUUUUCCUCAUCUCAGUCCUAAAAGGCUUUCCCUUUAUCCUUAAACUGUGACCCCUCGUUCUGGACCCCCAACAUCGGAAACAAUCUUCCUGCAUCUAGCCUGUCCAAUCCCUUUAGAAUUUUAUACGUUUCAAUAAGAUCCCCCCUCAAUCUUCUAAAUUCCAGUGAGUAUAAGCCUAGUCGAUCCAGUCUUUCUUCAUAUGAAAGUCCUGCCAUCCCAGGAAUCAAUCUGGUGAACCUUCUUUGUACUCCCUCUAUGGCAAGAAUGUCUUUUCUCAUAUUAGGGGACCAAAACUGCACACAAUAUUCCAGGUGCGGUCUCACCAAGGCCUUAUACAACUGCAGUAGAACCUCCCUGCUCCUGUACUCAAAUCCUUUUGCUAUGAAUGCCAACAUACCAUUUGCCUUUUUCACCGCCUGCUAUACCUGCAU
Molecule: long non-coding RNA, 3288 nt
Organism: Hypanus sabinus (Atlantic stingray)
Lineage: Eukaryota; Metazoa; Chordata; Chondrichthyes; Myliobatiformes; Dasyatidae
Exons: 3
Source: RefSeq, a predicted model, not a curated record